Non-coding RNA from Pelodiscus sinensis (Chinese soft-shelled turtle), 3884 nucleotides. The record is from RefSeq and is a predicted model, not a curated record. Lineage: Eukaryota; Metazoa; Chordata; Testudines; Trionychidae.
CAGAGUGCUGCAUAGUCCUGUCUUUUGUUUCAUCAACACAGGGUGACAGAUAAAACAGCCGCUAUGUUGUGCCUAGACCAGAAGGUACACACCCACAACCCACACUUGGCUCCAAUGGAAGGAAUCAAAUGGCAGUACCCGUCCUGAUCUCACCCACUAAUUCCACGCAUGGGUUUCUGGGAGAUUCUGGCACAUUAAGGGUGGAAGAAAAAGUGAGAUGUUGCACCCACAUUGCAGCUGAAAAGACUCAAAACACAAUGGAUCCCAGUAUGUUUUCAUUUUUCAAUUGGAUGAAGAAAUUACAGCUCGUGGGAGGAGCAAUCCUUAAUAAGCUGGGGGACCACAAUUGACAAAUCUACAAGAUGACAAAACCAGGAAGAAGAGAUUCAAAAUAUUGUGGAGAUAUUUGAAACUUAAAGGAGUCAGAAGACAAAAGAAGGAUUCUCCUUCUGCCCUGACACCACAGCAUGUGUAAAGCAAUUUACUGCACUCAACCACAAUCUCAAAUGGCUCAGAACAGGAAUGUAUACAUCAGCCUGAAAUAUAACACAGGUCCAAGGUGCAGCAACAGAGCCAAGAGAAGAGCCAUCCAAAUUUGUAUACAUGUUCCAAAUAAUAUUCCUGGACUUCAGGAUUUGCUAUCACAUGAUAAAUGAACUCAGUGUCAGCUAUGGAUUCCCGUGACAACCAGAAAAACGUAACGAUGGAGAAAUGUAGGAAGGUUUCAAGACCCUGAACAAUAAAUAUUAUUCCCGAGAAUCUGAUGGGGACGUAUAUGGAAGUCUAUUAUCCACUUACUAAUGAGGCCUGCUACAUAGCAAGAUCACAGCUUCAGGCACCAAUCCUAUAAGGGCUGCCACAAAGACAUAAGGACCGGCUCAACCAAUCCAUUUUCACUGAUGACUAAAUUGUCUACAAAUUAUCAUGAACUUGGAAAGCUUAGACCAUUUAUCUGCAAUGUGAGCUUUGUUCAAGGAACAGAUUUUCCAAGCUUACAUCACAGCUAAUCCUAGAUACAAGAUGUGACUUUCCACAUACAUUUUCAACUCUUUGAAGCUGAGAAUACUGUUCUUUUUAGUUCACCAAUAGCAUACAACAUUAAGAUUCAAAUUCUUGAAUGCAAAUUCUGAAAGCCUUCUGCUAUUUUUUUUAACACUUGCUAAAGAAAACAUGACUUUUUUAAAAUUGUAAAUUGCAAUAGGAUUACACGAUACCAGCAGGUCAAGACAGCAGGUAAUUGUUUCUAGUUAAUUUGCUAGAAACAUCAUACAUAUAGUCUCCCUGACUGUCCUCUACCCUGUGCCAAUUGGAGCCAGCUGCAAAAUUAAUCUUAAAUGCUACCAAAUUAGAAUUUGCUACUCAUUUAUUCCAGUUUGAGAUCUCCUUGCCCAGGUGUACAUGAGUUCAUAAAAUGAACAGCAAUGGAGAAUCAGAUCUGAUGCUUUCUGUAGGUGCAUUGGAAAUUGAUUCCACAUGUCCCUGAUGUCGUACUGUUGAGAUUAAUAUUUGUGCGGGAGGAAGUCUCCUAUUUUUAGAAUUGUGUUUUUUGAGACACUUCCUUGUGCUUCUUUUGGCGUAUGUACUUACAGGCUUUUGUCUUAUGUAGUUUUGCUUCAUAUUUUAACCCCCAAAUAUGUCUGCAAGUGUCAUAAACAUCAUAUUUAAAUGUCUUCAGGCUGGUGUUGCUCAGAGACUCCUGUCAUGAGUUCGGAAGAUUGCUGAAUCUGUCCUACAGUUCAGGUAACAAAGAACUGACCUUUUAGACUGUGCUAUUUGUGCAAGGUAGCUCACCUGCUCUGACAAGGAAAUUAAACUGUAAUGACAGUUGUAAAUGUGUGUAUUUUUCUCUAUCCUAGCACUUCAUAUUCAUUCCCAACCGAGACGACUCAAUUUACCAGUACUGAACUGAGUGAGGCAACAGUGGUUUAUGAAACACCUUCUUAUCCCAUGCAGGGACUCCCCAUUUCAUAGGAGAUUGAAACACUAUUUAGUGUACAUCUUGAAAAGCAGAAAAUUCUUACUUUAAGAGCUAAAGAGAGCCUUACAUGUUAAUUUACAGUAAAAUAAAGUUAGUUUUUAAAUGAAAGCCAAGUUUUGUACAUUAUACAAGUUGAUUCAAAGUUUGUAGAUGUGGUUCCUUCCCUGAGUGGAAUAUAAAGAUAUACUAAUUGACAGGUGACAUUCAAUGAGGCUCAGAAACAACAGCUAUCGGUUCCAGUUGGUCAAGUUUAAUGCUAGGAUGCUAGUUUUAGAGCCUUUAGGGAGAACUUGGGUCAGGUUUACAAGUUCUUCUCUGUAAUCACAAAGUAGGUUAGAAACUUUUUUUUUUUUUAAAUAUGGAAGCUGGGACACUCUUACAAUCACCUCUCUUCAGGAGCUACUGCUUUAAGUAAAACACUGUAUAUCAUGAGACCUAAUAAAAUCACAAGAUUUGGCCACAGUGCGCUCCACUCCUACCACUAAAACCCUGUUUAUGCUUUGAUUAGGUCUCACCUUUACUGUGCAGUCUCCUCCUUUUCAUGUCUCAGACUAGAGGGUGGAUAUGUGAGAAACUAAUAAAAAUGCUGCAGGUUCUCUAGAAUAUUCAAAAUGCAGCUGGUACAUACCUAUGCCCCCUUCAUAGCACUUUGAUCCUCCUCAACUUCCUUUACUAGCUAUCACCUCUUGCAACAAAUGACAUUUCAACAGACACAAGGUUCUUGACCUUAUCCUCCAAGGCUCUACUAAACUCCACUCCUGUCUACAUCUUGGUAAACCUAUCCCAAUCCCCUGAUGGCCUUUCUGUUAGUCAAUUUCCAUUGCUUAUUGCUCCCUUUGCCUCCUCCUAGUAAAGUGCUGUUGUGCUAGAUAAUACAAAUGGAAAAUCCUCUGACGUCCUAUGCACUAAGCAAUGUAACUCAUUCUCCUCAGCCAACCUCACUUUUAGAAUUAAUUACCAAGGCUUUGGCAUCCCUUGCUUACCAACUGUAUCACCUUGGGAUUUUUAACACUCGUUGAGCCCAGUGAUACCAAUCUGAAAAUGCAGUGAUAGCAAACAGUUUGUUCAAAACAAAUUAUGAUUUAUCAAUAGGAACAUAACAGAGAGAAAAAGCUUUUAAAACAAGACAAUAUUAAUGUGUGUCUAAGGAUUAUCUAAAUAUAACAUUUACCUAAUGCAGUUAGGGAGCAUUGAUAUACCCACUCUGUUUUUGCGAUCAAGCUGCAAAUCUUGUCUCCUCAUAAGAAACACUUUUUAACUACUUUCAAGCUCCACACUUUUCAUUAGACCAAUAGCACCUGAUUCUGCAUUGGUGGAGGUAAAUUUCAAAGUAAUUAUAACAUCCAUGUGUCUGUACUAACCAUUAGGACAGUCUAUAGGCAUUGAUAUUUGGUUCCUGCCAAGUUAACUAAGCCUGAUUUCCCUCUCAUUUACUCUGUUUUCACUCAGAAAUAUAACCACCCAGAAACCCACAUAGAUAAUUUUAUGAAGAAAAAGCUCCCAUGUUUGUCACAGCUAGGCACAACUGAUUAUUUUGCUAAGUCUAAUAUAUAUGCCUGAAAGUCCAGUGCCCUGUGAUCUCUAUGCAGAACUUAUGAUCAUUAGAUGCAUAUAAACUAAGCAAAAUUAUGUAACUAAUUAUUGUCCACUACUUUGCGGGGGGGAGGGGGGGUGAUAAAUUUAACUUUGGAUUUACUGCUGUAUGUUUAAAACUUGUAUAUAAUAUGUAGUGAUUUAAAACUGAGCUGUUCAGUCCAUCAACAAGAAUGCUGUUCUGGGGUUCUGAUAAUAAAAAUAAAAGGCAUUAGAUUUAUUUAUAUGGAGUCAUCCAAAACCAUACCAUGAUACAGUAGGCCGCACCUUUCACCUCUUGAUGGGAAAGGAUGCGCAGAUGUUUAUCUUUAGA